ACGCUCUGGAGAAUCCCGGCAGAGGUACGCCGGGUGCCGAAGGUGCAAAGCCCGUUUGGGCUAAUCUCUCAGGCAAAAGGACAGAGGCG
Molecule: non-coding RNA, 89 nt
Filed under: bovine gut metagenome
Description: Glycine riboswitch
Rfam family: Glycine riboswitch aptamer
About the family: This family represents the bacterial glycine riboswitch. Glycine riboswitches usually consist of two metabolite-binding aptamers domains with similar structures in tandem. The aptamers cooperatively bind glycine to regulate the expression of downstream genes.
Source: RNAcentral